Molecule: non-coding RNA, 5236 nt
Organism: Podarcis lilfordi (Lilford's wall lizard)
Lineage: Eukaryota; Metazoa; Chordata; Lepidosauria; Squamata; Lacertidae
Source: the annotation of a GenBank genome assembly
GUGAGUCUCGGUUUAAAUAAACCUGAACUUGGAAGAAUGCAAGUCAGGGUUAUCUUUCGAACGGAGGUAAGUUUUUAAAGCAACAUGAGGGUGAAACUCGCCUUAAUUCAUGGAAUGUUCAGGCUUAAGGUUAGGAUAAUAAUGUACCAGAGACAGACAUUCUGACCUGUUUAAGAGCGACUCUUGGGAAACAUUCGGCAGGUCAGGGUGAGUGGGUUAUUUUUCUUGGCCUUUCUUUAGUGCUGAGCUAUCUUUUCUUUCUUUCUUUCUUUCUUUCUUUCUUUCUUUCUUUCUUUCUUUCUUUCUUUCCUUUGGGGUGAGGUGAGACCUGAACACAUGCAGCUUAAACUUUGAAAAACUUUGCACUGAAACUUUAAAAAUGAAACAAAAAAGUGUUGCGAUACAGUGGUACCUCGGGUUAAGUACUUAAUUUGUUUCAGAGGUCCAUUCCUAACCUGAAACUGUUCUCAACCUGAAGCACCGCUUUAGCUAAUGGGGCCUCCCGCUGCUGCCGUGCCGCCAGAGCACAAUUUCUGUUCUCAUCCUGAAGCAAAGUUCUUAACCCGAGGUACUAUUUCUGGGUUCUGUAACCUGAAGCGUAUGUAACCUGAGGUACCACUGUACAUUCAUUCAAGGCACAAAGCUUGUUCCUGUGCUGUGUGCUCCUUCAAACUGGAAACAAGUCCCACUGCAUUUCUGGGGGCUUACUCUCCAAGUAAGUGUGUGCAGGAUUGUCGCUUUAAUGCGGUACAUUUUCUGUUGGCAAUUACUGGUGUCCUAUGCAUGAAGGAGGCUGUGAAUGUGUAUGCAGCUGAACUUUGUGUACGGUUUUGGUUUUAGUCAAGGGUGAGGUGUUUGAGAGUAACAGUGUGAGAGGGACUAUAAAGCUGUUGCCAUUGCACAUCCAUCCACCCACGAUUCCAGUACAUUGUUAUUGCAGAGAAAAGCACACACAUAUUUACAUUAUGCCAAAAAUAUCCACAGCAGUUUAAAUGAUUUAAAAAAUGCAUAAUAUCCACAACAGCAAAGUCCACUAACACAAUGCACAUUAAGGCAGGCAGUUAGAAUGAUCACCUUUACAGUCUAAUAGUGUGUUAUUUCAUAAUUCUUAGUUAAUUGGCUCCCAGUAUGUUUCCGAGCACAAUUCAAAGUGUUGAUGUUGACCUUUACAGCCCUAAACGGCCUCAGUCCAGUAGACCUCAACAAGCAUCUCCACCCACAUUGUUCAGCCCGGACACAGAGGUCCAGCUCCGAGGGCCUUCUUGUGGUUCCCUCCGUCCGAGAAGUGAGGUUACAGGGAACCAGGCAGAGGGCCUUCUCAGUAGUGGCACCCGCCCUGUGGAACACCCUCCUAUCAGAUAUCAAUGAAAUAAACAACUAUCUGACUUUUAGAAGACAUCUGAAGGCAACCCUGUAUUGGGAAGCUUUUUAAGGUUUAAUGUUUUAUCUUGUUUUUAAUAUUCUGUUGGGAGCCGCCCAGAGUGGCUGGGGAAACCCAGCCAGAUGGGCAGGGUAUAAAUAAUAAUUAAUUAUAAUAAUAAUUAUAGUUAUUAUUAAUGUUAGCUGCACCAACAGUGCAUGCUGCUGCAGCAUGGCUUACUAUCUCCUUAGGUGCCAAUCAGCAAAACGAAUUAAAGCCCUGUUAUAAAGCAUAUGCUCUCCUUUUUUGAAACAAUGCCUUUUCGAAUACGAAUACAGUGGUACCUUGGGUUAAGAACUUAAUUUGUUCUGGAGGUCCGUUCUUAACCUGAAACUGUUCUUAACCUGAAGCACCACUUUAGCUAAUGGGGCCUCCCGCUGCCGCUGUGCCACCGCCGCCUGAUUUCUGUUCUCAUCCUGAAGCGAAGUUCUUAACCCGAGGUACUAUUUCUGGGUUACCAGAGUCUGUAACCUGAAGCGUCUGUAACCCGAGGUACCACUGUAGUUCAUCCAUGUUCUCAUUUGCAUCAUAGGGGAAUAGUUCUAUGAGUGCUUCUGGUCAGUUCAAGAAAUCUCAAGUUUCUUCAGCUUUGCUUCCUCCCCCUCAAAGAAGUGUUAUGCAAUUAAUCAAGGGAAUAUUCCACACUGCUGGCAGGUAUUUCAUUCUCAGCCUGGAAGUGUGGCAAUGAAAUCGGAGAAAAUGGGAAGAAGAGUCAGCCUGUGAACAUGUAUGCUGUCAAUCAUACAUACUUAGUUGCUGAGUUCACACUGCAUGGAGUUCAUUGGUUAUCUUUCACUGCCACCUAAUAUUUUCCAGUGGGGAUCUGAUAACUAUAUCUGACCACACUUCCAUACCCUUCAACAUUUCUCUGAUGAAAAUAGGUACAUCCUACUCCAUAACAACAACAACAACAAUUUUAUUAUUUAUAUUCAUCCAUCGGGGUGCCAACUUGAAUGUCAAAGGUCACCUGUCUGUGGCAUGAUGGGUAGUAGAAGCCCAUUUUCAUGCUGCAAAUACUGAACAGCAUUUCAUCCUCUCUACUCACUGUGUGUGCCAUAUCCCAGGAAAGAGUGAAGUAGGCUUAACAAAUUUCUACAGAACUAGAUCACUGUAUUAUUUUUAAAAAUUUGGUCAAUUUGCUUGCUGGCCUGCGAACCUGAGCUGACUAAAACAGCCCGUAUUGUUUUCCAAGUGCUCACCUUUCAGAAUCACCACAUCCAUCACAAAAGGGGAAAAAAACUAUGAGAGGAAAACUAUCGUAGACUUGUUGCCCGAGCUCAGAGACAAAACCUCCAGUGUUCGAAUGCUCUUGGUCGCUGCUAGCCUUUGGCAUGAAGGAGCACAUGAAAGGAAACACAAAGUGGAUUAAGUAUGAUGGCAAAUAAUCUGCAGUGCUCAGUUAGGAAACUUGCUUGUCAUUAUCCUCUGAUUUCGGUUCCAAACCUUGAAACAUUUAUAAGCUGCCUUCUUCUACUACGCUUUGCCACAAUUGCGCGCAAAAUGUAAAAGGAUCUUGGACCAACUAAUGUAAAAGGGGAAACCAUGAACACCAAAAGAUAGAUAUCUCCUUGAGUCAUCCAUGUGGUCUGCCAGUCAUUCCUCAUCACCAAACAGUUGUUCCUCACUCCCUUCUCAAGUCUUUCCUUAUUACUGUGGUGCGCCUUACCCAGGUUGGAUAAGUUUUAUGUGUCCAUAAGACGACAACAGCCAAGGAACAUCUUAUCAGCCAGGACUCUUGUGAUGUAUCUUGGGUUUUUGUUCUUUGGUCUCCUUGUGAUUCAAGGGAAAUCUUUAGCCAGUGACUUCACAGAAGGGAUGCGGGUGGCACUGUGGUUAAACCACAGGGCCUAGGACUUGCCGAUCAGAAGGUCGGUGGUUCGAAUCCCCGCGACGGGGUGAGCUCCCGUUGCUCAGUCCCUGCUCCUGCCAACCUAGCAGUUUGAAAGCACAUCAAAGUGCAAGUAGAUAAAUAGGUACCGCUCUGGUGGGAAGGUAAACAGCGUUUCCGUGUGCUGCUCUCGUUCACCAGAAAUGGCUUAGUCAUGCUGGCCACAUGACCCAGAAGCUGUACGCCGGCUCCCUCAGCCAAUAAAGCGAGAUGAGCACCGCAACCCCAGAGUCGGUCACGACUGGACCUAAUGGUCAGGGGUCCCUUUACCUUUAUCUUCACAGAAGGGAGAUCUUUCUGUCUUCAUAGAUUUGUUUCAGCAUUCAGGGAGAAAAAGGGGCUGUGGCGCUGCUUCAAGACUGCCUGCCAACUAGCUGCCCCACUCCUUCUACCUGUCCUAGUUUGUUUUUCUUUUCCCUGUUGGGAAAGCCACCUUCACUGCAUAAUGGUCACUAGCAGAAUUUCCACUUCGUGUUCAUGCUUAAACUAUGUAGGCAGUAUAUGCACAGUAGGGGAGUUAGGCUGUUGGUUUUAUCCAGUGUACCAUUUUACGCACUUUUCAUCUCCCCUAGCUGCAACAAAACAUGUCUCUCCCAUAUCAGUCUCUACAGCCACAGAAGCUUGACUUCACCCCCAAUGGCACAGAAGGUUGUGAGAUCUUUUGGAGCAGUCUGUUUUGGGGUGGGGCGGGCAACAAGGGAUGAGGCAAAGGGGAAUGCCACCCAUGAAGUCUUGACUGCAACCCUGGGCUCAUCUGGGAGGACUUGUAGAGUUGAAAGGGAUCCCAAGGGUCAUCUAGUCCAACCCCCUGCAAUGUAGGAAUCUCAGCUAAAGCAGAAUAAAAAUUUAAUAACGAAAUAAAUAAACAGCAAUACCUCAAAAGCCGCCUCUUUCCAUAUAAACCUACCCAGACCCUGAGAUCAUCUUCUGAGGCUCUUCUUCAUGUGCCUCCUUGAGAGAUCCGUAGGGUGGCAACAUGAGAACGGGUCUUCUCUGCAGUGGCUCCCAGUCUGUGGGAGGCUAUCCCCAGGGAAGUUUGCCUGGUGCCUUCAUUAUAUACCUUUAGGUGCCAGGCAAAAAUGUGCCUUUUUAACCAGGCCUUUGGCUGAUCUGAUUGACAUCCUAUGCCCAUUUUUUGGGGGAGAGAGGGUGUUAUUGGGUUGUUGUUUUUAUUUUGAUUAUAUAUAUAUAUUGUGGUUUUAUAUUUUGAUUUUUGUUCUGUGAUUUUUGUUCCCUGAGACCUCCGGGUGUAAGGUGGAAGAUAAAUAAAAUUUAAUUAAUUAAAUAUUAAACAAAGGUUUUAAAAAAUCCUGUUUGAAGGACAUGUUGACAAGAAAUAUUUGGAUGAAAUGCAGAUGCAUAAUAAAUGCGCGAUCUAGUUGUAUUUAAGCCCUUGUGAAUCCCACGUAUACAAGUGGGAGAGAUCUAGGCAUAUGCUUUAACGCUCCCAAUGAAAAUAGUGUGGGACAACUGCUUUAACUGUCUAAGGCAAAGUUUGUUUUUUAUCUUUACAAGCCUGGCGCAUACAUUUUUAAUCUCCUGGAAAUAAACAAUUACAACAAUGCACUGUUCUUUUUUAAAAUGUACAUUCACAUUAUUUAAAAACAACCCUUCGAUAUUUUCCCGCCUUAAAGUAGAUCUUUUCUCUUUUCUCUUACCCAAGCAAGUUUGCCAAGAACUGGCGCCUAAGAUCUGGAAAUACUUCGCGAUCUUCUCACGAACGCUCUUUAGAAAACUACAGUGCUCGUCAUUCAAAUGCUUUUACGUUUAAACAGAGCUGAAAUGGAGGAACUCAAAGCAAAACGCAAAGGAAGCUGAAACAUAAGCUUAUUCAUUCUGUUGUCCAGUAUGUCGGGGAAAGAGCGAGCGAUAGGAACACUAAUCUCAUUGUUGAUUUACAUCAGAGUCCUUUAACUUCUUAGUCUGGG